CUCUAGGGAACCCGGCCAGCGGGCUGAUGUCCCACGGGCUCCACAGAGUCCUCCAUCAUUUGCAACCACUCUGACGCAAACAUGCUGCCAAACUGAAAUUGAGAACAUAGAAAACUUGACAGGACGAUAGGGAAAGAAGGGGAGGAGGGUACAUUAAAGAAGAUUGGAAAAGAACAAAGAAAAGUAGAGAUCAGUGUGGAAGGGCAACAUUUCUCAACCAUUAUCAGCACUACCAGCCUUGCAAGACAAGAUUCCCAGGGCCUUGUUCUGUCUUAACACUAUAAUACAAAACUCGAGAGCCAAUCUCUUACUCCACUGAGAAUCAAUUUGUUUAUGUCACUCAGGUAUGAUAUUGAGAAAAAUAUUGAAUUGCUUUUAGUGAACAAAUACUAGUUUGUGAGUUCAAAGCUUAGUUUUGAUUAGGCUCAUGAGUAAGUUGAUCUGUGAGACUAUCCAGGAUGUGCUGCAUUGUGAAAAUGUGUUUCCAGUUUUCAUCCAGGCAGCCCUCUUUCCUGCCUUCUCCCUGCUCAUCCAGACCACAAUUACACUUGCUAUUUGGAAGACUCUUCCUUUGAAAGCAUUUAGAAGUAUAAAUAAUGCUUGGCCUGCUUGACUCAGUCUUCGUGAUUCAAGAUGAGAGUCUGUCUGAGGCGUGCUUCUCUCAUUGCUGCCAGAGGCCCUUAGUGGUGCUGCUGUGUUUCAGUGGACAACUUUGGUAUCUU
Molecule: long non-coding RNA, 722 nt
Filed under: Homo sapiens (human)
Lineage: Eukaryota; Metazoa; Chordata; Mammalia; Primates; Hominidae
Description: HSALNT0086922
Source: RNAcentral